Paramuricea clavata is the source of this 249-nucleotide non-coding RNA. NCBI's taxonomy places the organism in Eukaryota, Metazoa, Cnidaria, Anthozoa, Malacalcyonacea, Plexauridae. The record is from the annotation of a GenBank genome assembly.
GUUUUCUCAACUCUCGUACUGAGAGUUGAUGAGAGUUGAGAAGCGAGAGUUUGCAUGAGAGUUUUCUCAACUCUCGUGCCCCGGUCAAACGAGAACAAGAGUUGCAUGAGAGUUGAUGAGAGUUGAGAAGCGAGAGUUUGCAUGAGAGUUUUCUCAACUCUCGUACUCUGGUCAAACGAGAACAAGAGUUGCAUGAGAGUUGAUGAGAGUUGAGAAGCGAGAGUUUGCAUGAGAGUUUUCUCAACUCUC